GUUGUUGUGGCCGAGUGGUUCAGGUGAUGGACUAGAAGUCCAUUGUGGUCUCCCCGCACAGGUUUGAAUCCUGCCAACAACG
Molecule: transfer RNA, 82 nt
Filed under: Poecilia formosa (Amazon molly)
Lineage: Eukaryota; Metazoa; Chordata; Actinopteri; Cyprinodontiformes; Poeciliidae
Rfam family: tRNA
About the family: Transfer RNA (tRNA) molecules are approximately 80 nucleotides in length.
Source: Rfam by way of RNAcentral